RNAcentral lists this ribosomal RNA (2588 nucleotides) under Escherichia coli. Its description in RNAcentral is "partial 23S ribosomal RNA". It matches the Rfam family "Bacterial large subunit ribosomal RNA", at positions 344 to 2915 of the family's 2925-position model. The record is from RNAcentral. Lineage: Bacteria; Pseudomonadati; Pseudomonadota; Gammaproteobacteria; Enterobacterales; Enterobacteriaceae.
GGAAAGGCGCGCGAUACAGGGUGACAGCCCCGUACACAAAAAUGCACAUGCUGUGAGCUCGAUGAGUAGGGCGGGACACGUGGUAUCCUGUCUGAAUAUGGGGGGACCAUCCUCCAAGGCUAAAUACUCCUGACUGACCGAUAGUGAACCAGUACCGUGAGGGAAAGGCGAAAAGAACCCCGGCGAGGGGAGUGAAAAAGAACCUGAAACCGUGUACGUACAAGCAGUGGGAGCACGCUUAGGCGUGUGACUGCGUACCUUUUGUAUAAUGGGUCAGCGACUUAUAUUCUGUAGCAAGGUUAACCGAAUAGGGGAGCCGAAGGGAAACCGAGUCUUAACUGGGCGUUAAGUUGCAGGGUAUAGACCCGAAACCCGGUGAUCUAGCCAUGGGCAGGUUGAAGGUUGGGUAACACUAACUGGAGGACCGAACCGACUAAUGUUGAAAAAUUAGCGGAUGACUUGUGGCUGGGGGUGAAAGGCCAAUCAAACCGGGAGAUAGCUGGUUCUCCCCGAAAGCUAUUUAGGUAGCGCCUCGUGAAUUCAUCUCCGGGGGUAGAGCACUGUUUCGGCAAGGGGGUCAUCCCGACUUACCAACCCGAUGCAAACUGCGAAUACCGGAGAAUGUUAUCACGGGAGACACACGGCGGGUGCUAACGUCCGUCGUGAAGAGGGAAACAACCCAGACCGCCAGCUAAGGUCCCAAAGUCAUGGUUAAGUGGGAAACGAUGUGGGAAGGCCCAGACAGCCAGGAUGUUGGCUUAGAAGCAGCCAUCAUUUAAAGAAAGCGUAAUAGCUCACUGGUCGAGUCGGCCUGCGCGGAAGAUGUAACGGGGCUAAACCAUGCACCGAAGCUGCGGCAGCGACGCUUAUGCGUUGUUGGGUAGGGGAGCGUUCUGUAAGCCUGCGAAGGUGUGCUGUGAGGCAUGCUGGAGGUAUCAGAAGUGCGAAUGCUGACAUAAGUAACGAUAAAGCGGGUGAAAAGCCCGCUCGCCGGAAGACCAAGGGUUCCUGUCCAACGUUAAUCGGGGCAGGGUGAGUCGACCCCUAAGGCGAGGCCGAAAGGCGUAGUCGAUGGGAAACAGGUUAAUAUUCCUGUACUUGGUGUUACUGCGAAGGGGGGACGGAGAAGGCUAUGUUGGCCGGGCGACGGUUGUCCCGGUUUAAGCGUGUAGGCUGGUUUUCCAGGCAAAUCCGGAAAAUCAAGGCUGAGGCGUGAUGACGAGGCACUACGGUGCUGAAGCAACAAAUGCCCUGCUUCCAGGAAAAGCCUCUAAGCAUCAGGUAACAUCAAAUCGUACCCCAAACCGACACAGGUGGUCAGGUAGAGAAUACCAAGGCGCUUGAGAGAACUCGGGUGAAGGAACUAGGCAAAAUGGUGCCGUAACUUCGGGAGAAGGCACGCUGAUAUGUAGGUGAAGCGACUUGCUCGUGGAGCUGAAAUCAGUCGAAGAUACCAGCUGGCUGCAACUGUUUAUUAAAAACACAGCACUGUGCAAACACGAAAGUGGACGUAUACGGUGUGACGCCUGCCCGGUGCCGGAAGGUUAAUUGAUGGGGUUAGCGCAAGCGAAGCUCUUGAUCGAAGCCCCGGUAAACGGCGGCCGUAACUAUAACGGUCCUAAGGUAGCGAAAUUCCUUGUCGGGUAAGUUCCGACCUGCACGAAUGGCGUAAUGAUGGCCAGGCUGUCUCCACCCGAGACUCAGUGAAAUUGAACUCGCUGUGAAGAUGCAGUGUACCCGCGGCAAGACGGAAAGACCCCGUGAACCUUUACUAUAGCUUGACACUGAACAUUGAGCCUUGAUGUGUAGGAUAGGUGGGAGGCUUUGAAGUGUGGACGCCAGUCUGCAUGGAGCCGACCUUGAAAUACCACCCUUUAAUGUUUGAUGUUCUAACGUUGACCCGUAAUCCGGGUUGCGGACAGUGUCUGGUGGGUAGUUUGACUGGGGCGGUCUCCUCCUAAAGAGUAACGGAGGAGCACGAAGGUUGGCUAAUCCUGGUCGGACAUCAGGAGGUUAGUGCAAUGGCAUAAGCCAGCUUGACUGCGAGCGUGACGGCGCGAGCAGGUGCGAAAGCAGGUCAUAGUGAUCCGGUGGUUCUGAAUGGAAGGGCCAUCGCUCAACGGAUAAAAGGUACUCCGGGGAUAACAGGCUGAUACCGCCCAAGAGUUCAUAUCGACGGCGGUGUUUGGCACCUCGAUGUCGGCUCAUCACAUCCUGGGGCUGAAGUAGGUCCCAAGGGUAUGGCUGUUCGCCAUUUAAAGUGGUACGCGAGCUGGGUUUAGAACGUCGUGAGACAGUUCGGUCCCUAUCUGCCGUGGGCGCUGGAGAACUGAGGGGGGCUGCUCCUAGUACGAGAGGACCGGAGUGGACGCAUCACUGGUGUUCGGGUUGUCAUGCCAAUGGCACUGCCCGGUAGCUAAAUGCGGAAGAGAUAAGUGCUGAAAGCAUCUAAGCACGAAACUUGCCCCGAGAUGAGUUCUCCCUGACUCCUUGAGAGUCCUGAAGGAACGUUGAAGACGACGACGUUGAUAGGCCGGGUGUGUAAGCGCAGCGAUGCGUUGAGCUAACCGGUACUAAUGAACCGUGAG